Molecule: long non-coding RNA, 125 nt
Organism: Sphaeramia orbicularis (orbiculate cardinalfish)
Lineage: Eukaryota; Metazoa; Chordata; Actinopteri; Kurtiformes; Apogonidae
Exons: 3
Source: RefSeq, a predicted model, not a curated record
AUUAAAUUUUGUUAGUGUUGUUCUAUUCUCCAAACCCACCUUCUUCCUUAUGCACAUGCUCAGUUCCAUUGAGGUCAAAAUGGGAUGUUUCAGCAGAUAAUGAAACACAUCCAGGACUUGACACG